CAAAAACAUCUUUUCUUGUUAGUUUUUGAAGUAUGGCCUGCCCGCUGACUUUGAGUUGAGGGCCGCGGUAUUUUGACCGUGCAAAGGUAGCAUAAUCAUUAGUUCUUUAAUUGUGAUCUGGUAUGAAUGGCUUGACGAGACAUGAGCUGUCUUAGGGGUAUUUGUUGUUGAAUUUAGUUUUUGAGUUAAAAUUCUUAAAUGUUUUUAUGGGACGAGAAGACCCUAUAGAGUUUGACAUAUUGCUUUGCCUGUAUUUUGUUGUUUGUUUUAAGGUUUGGUUGGGGUUGUAUGUUUUGUUGGGGUGAUGGGAGGUGUUUUCUUAACUCCUCUUUGUUCAUUAUAUAUUUAUUUAUAUUUGUUUGAUCCAUUUAUUUUGCUUAUAAAAUUAAAUUACCUA
This 397-nucleotide ribosomal RNA is filed under the name Syntermes spinosus. RNAcentral describes it as "partial 16S ribosomal RNA". The record is from RNAcentral. Lineage: Eukaryota; Metazoa; Arthropoda; Insecta; Blattodea; Termitidae.